UCAUGAUGAACGCUAGCUACAGGCUUAACACAUGCAAGUCGAGGGGCAGCAUUUUAGUUUGCUUGCAAACUAAAGAUGGCGACCGGCGCACGGGUGAGUAACACGUAUCCAACCUGCCGAUAACUCGGGGAUAGCCUUUCGAAAGAAAGAUUAAUAUCCGAUAGUAUAUUAAAACCGCAUGGUUUUACUAUUAAAGAAUUUCGGUUAUCGAUGGGGAUGCGUUCCAUUAGUUUGUUGGCGGGGUAACGGCCCACCAAGACUACGAUGGAUAGGGGUUCUGAGAGGAAGGUCCCCCACAUUGGAACUGAGACACGGUCCAAACUCCUACGGGAGGCAGCAGUGAGGAAUAUUGGUCAAUGGACGAGAGUCUGAACCAGCCAAGUAGCGUGAAGGAUGACUGCCCUAUGGGUUGUAAACUUCUUUUAUAUGGGAAUAAAGUAUUCCACGUGUGGGAUUUUGUAUGUACCAUAUGAAUAAGGAUCGGCUAACUCCGUGCCAGCAGCCGCGGUAAUACGGAGGAUCCGAGCGUUAUCCGGAUUUAUUGGGUUUAAAGGGAGCGUAGGUGGAUUGUUAAGUCAGUUGUGAAAGUUUGCGGCUCAACCGUAAAAUUGCAGUUGAAACUGGCAGUCUUGAGUACAGUAGAGGUGGGCGGAAUUCGUGGUGUAGCGGUGAAAUGCUUAGAUAUCACGAAGAACUCCGACUGCGAAGGCAGCUCACUAGACUGCAACUGACACUGAUGCUCGAAAGUGUGGGUAUCAAACAGGAUUAGAUACCCUGGUAGUCCACACAGUAAACGAUGAAUACUCGCUGUUUGCGAUAUACAGUAAGCGGCCAAGCGAAAGCAUUAAGUAUUCCACCUGGGGAGUACGCCGGCAACGGUGAAACUCAAAGGAAUUGACGGGGGCCCGCACAAGCGGAGGAACAUGUGGUUUAAUUCGAUGAUACGCGAGGAACCUUACCCGGGCUUAAAUUGCAUUUGAAUAAUCUGGAAACAGGUUAGCCGCAAGGCAAAUGUGAAGGUGCUGCAUGGUUGUCGUCAGCUCGUGCCGUGAGGUGUCGGCUUAAGUGCCAUAACGAGCGCAACCCUUAUCUUUAGUUACUAACAGGUUAUGCUGAGGACUCUAGAGAGACUGCCGUCGUAAGAUGUGAGGAAGGUGGGGAUGACGUCAAAUCAGCACGGCCCUUACGUCCGGGGCUACACACGUGUUACAAUGGGGGGUACAGAAGGCAGCUACCUGGCGACAGGAUGCUAAUCCCAAAAACCUCUCUCAGUUCGGAUCGAAGUCUGCAACCCGACUUCGUGAAGCUGGAUUCGCUAGUAAUCGCGCAUCAGCCAUGGCGCGGUGAAUACGUUCCCGGGCCUUGUACACACCGCCCGUCAAGCCAUGAAAGCCGGGGGUACCUGAAGUACGUAACCGCAAGGAGCGUCCUAGGGUAAAACUGGUAA
RNAcentral lists this ribosomal RNA (1447 nucleotides) under uncultured organism. RNAcentral's name for it is "SSU rRNA". It matches the Rfam family "Bacterial small subunit ribosomal RNA". The record is from RNAcentral.